AUUGAACGCUGGCGGCAUGCUUUACACAUGCAAGUCGAACGGCAGCGCGGGCUUCGUCCUGGCGGCGAGUGGCGAACGGGUGAGUAAUUCAUCGGAACGUGCCCAGUAUUUGGGGAUAGCCCGGCGAAAGCCGGAUUAAUACCGCAUACGACCUGAGUUUGAAAGCGGGGGACCGAAAGGCCUCGCGCUAUUUGAGCGGCCGAUGUCGGAUUAGCUAGUUGGUGGGGUAAAGGCUUACCAAGGCGACGAUCCGUAGCUGGUCUGAGAGGACGACCAGCCACACUGGGACUGAGACACGGCCCAGACUCCUACGGGAGGCAGCAGUGGGGAAUUUUGGACAAUGGGGGCAACCCUGAUCCAGCCAUGCCGCGUGAGGGAAGAAGGCCUUCGGGUUGUAAAACGCUUUUGUUCGGGAAGAAAUCCUCUGGGCUAAUACCCCGGGGGGAUGACGGUACCGGAAGAAUAAGCACCGGCUAACUACGUG
This 484-nucleotide ribosomal RNA is filed under the name uncultured bacterium. Its description in RNAcentral is "partial 16S ribosomal RNA". It matches the Rfam family "Bacterial small subunit ribosomal RNA", at positions 30 to 507 of the family's 1533-position model. The record is from RNAcentral.